CACGUAGGGGGCAAGCGUUGUCCGGAUUUAUUGGGCGUAAAGAGCUCGUAGGCGGUUCGUCAAGUCGGGUGUGAAAACUCCGGGCUCAACCCGGAGACUCCACCCGAUACUGUCGUGACUGGAGUCCGGUAGGGGAGUGGGGAAUUCCUGGUGUAGCGGUGAAAUGCGCAGAUAUCAGGAGGAACACCGGUGGCGAAGGCGCCACUCUGGGCCGGUACUGACGCUGAGGAGCGAAAGCGUGGGUAGCAAACAGG
Molecule: ribosomal RNA, 254 nt
Filed under: uncultured bacterium
Lineage: Bacteria
Description: partial 16S ribosomal RNA
Rfam family: Bacterial small subunit ribosomal RNA
Source: RNAcentral